RNAcentral lists this unclassified non-coding RNA (26 nucleotides) under Mus musculus (house mouse). RNAcentral describes it as "oocyte_clustered_small_RNA11739". The record is from RNAcentral. Lineage: Eukaryota; Metazoa; Chordata; Mammalia; Rodentia; Muridae.
AAUGUUGGAUAAGGAGAUGGAGAGAC